Molecule: ribosomal RNA, 465 nt
Filed under: uncultured bacterium
Lineage: Bacteria
Description: partial 16S ribosomal RNA
Rfam family: Bacterial small subunit ribosomal RNA
Source: RNAcentral
GACGAACGCUGGCGGCGUGCUUAACACAUGCAAGUCGAACGGAAAGGCCCUGCUUGCGGUGUACUCGAGGGGAGAACGGGAGUAAAACAUGUGGAACCUGUGCUCUGCACUUCGGGAUAAGCCUGGGAAACGGGGUAAUAUAGGGGAGAGGUGCCUGUUUCAGUGUGGGGGUUGGAAAGUUUUUGCGGUUUUGGAUGGGCUCGCGGCCUAUCAGCUUGUUGGUGGGGUAAUGGCCUACCAAGGCGUUGACGGGUAGCCGGCCUGAGAGGGUGGACGGCCACAUUGGGACUGAGAUACGGCCCAGACUCCUACGGGAGGCAGCAGUGGGGAAUAUUGCACAAUGGGCGGAAGCCUGAUGCAGCGACGCCGCGUGGGGGAUGACGGCCUUCGGGUUGUAAACCCCUUUCGCUAGGGGCGAAGCUUGUUGUGACGGUACCUGCAUAAGAAGCACCGGCUAACUACGUG